RNAcentral lists this ribosomal RNA (386 nucleotides) under uncultured bacterium. RNAcentral describes it as "bacterial SSU rRNA". It matches the Rfam family "Bacterial small subunit ribosomal RNA", at positions 29 to 417 of the family's 1533-position model. The record is from RNAcentral.
AUUGAACGCUGGCGGCAUGCUUUACACAUGCAAGUCGAACGGUAACAGGCCGCAAGGUGCUGACGAGUGGCGAACGGGUGAGUAAUGCAUCGGAACGUGCCCAGUCGUGGGGGAUAACGCAGCGAAAGCUGCGCUAAUACCGCAUACGAUCUAUGGAUGAAAGCGGGGGGACCGUAAGGCCUCGCGCGAUUGGAGCGGCCGAUGUCAGAUUAGGUAGUUGGUGGGGUAAAGGCUCACCAAGCCGACGAUCUGUAGCUGGUCUGAGAGGACGACCAGCCACACUGGGACUGAGACACGGCCCAGACUCCUACGGGAGGCAGCAGUGGGGAAUUUUGGACAAUGGGCGCAAGCCUGAUCCAGCAAUGCCGCGUGCAGGAAGAAGGCCU